Molecule: ribosomal RNA, 429 nt
Filed under: Chloroflexota bacterium
Lineage: Bacteria; Bacillati; Chloroflexota
Description: Chloroflexi bacterium partial 16S ribosomal RNA
Rfam family: Bacterial small subunit ribosomal RNA
Source: RNAcentral
UGGGGAAUAUUGCACAAUGGGCGCAAGCCUGAUGCAGCCAUGCCGCGUGUGUGAAGAAGGCCUUCGGGUUGUAAAGCACUUUCAGCGGGGAGGAAGGCGGUGAGGUUAAUAACCUCACCGAUUGACGUUACCCGCAGAAGAAGCACCGGCUAACUCCGUGCCAGCAGCCGCGGUAAUACGGAGGGUGCAGGCGUUAAUCGGAAUUACUGGGCGUAAAGCGCACGCAGGCGGUCUGUCAAGUCGGAUGUGAAAUCCCCGGGCUCAACCUGGGAACUGCAUUCGAAACUGGCAGGCUAGAGUCUUGUAGAGGGGGGUAGAAUUCCAGGUGUAGCGGUGAAAUGCGUAGAGAUCUGGAGGAAUACCGGUGGCGAAGGCGGCCCCCUGGACAAAGACUGACGCUCAGGUGCGAAAGCGUGGGGAGCAAACAGG